AACUAACGCAAAUCAAAGUAACAGUUUCUGUACUAUAUUGGUAUGAGAAACUUCCGGAAGCGCCGCACGCCGGUCGCUCUUCGGUCAACUUUUCCACCGCGACCCUCGGGUCGC
This 114-nucleotide unclassified non-coding RNA is filed under the name Trypanosomatidae sp. Ch14. RNAcentral describes it as "trans-spliced leader sequence SL". The record is from RNAcentral. Lineage: Eukaryota; Euglenozoa; Kinetoplastea; Trypanosomatida; Trypanosomatidae.